Molecule: ribosomal RNA, 387 nt
Filed under: uncultured bacterium
Lineage: Bacteria
Description: bacterial SSU rRNA
Rfam family: Bacterial small subunit ribosomal RNA
Source: RNAcentral
AUUGAACGCUGGCGGCAGGCCUAACACAUGCAAGUCGAGCGGUAGAGAGGUGCUUGCAUCUCUUGAGAGCGGCGGACGGGUGAGUAAUGCCUAGGAAUCUGCCUAGUGUGGGGGAUAACGUUCGGAAACGGACGCUAAUACCGCAUACGUCCUACGGGAGAAAGCGGGGGAUCUUCGGACCUCGCGCCAUUAGAUGAGCCUAGGUCGGAUUAGCUAGUUGGUGAGGUAAUGGCUCACCAAGGCGACGAUCCGUAACUGGUCUGAGAGGAUGAUCAGUCACACUGGAACUGAGACACGGUCCAGACUCCUACGGGAGGCAGCAGUGGGGGAAUAUUGGACAAUGGGCGAAAGCCUGAUCCAGCCAUGCCGCGUGGGUGAAGAAGGCCU